Long non-coding RNA from Cornus florida, 647 nucleotides. RefSeq lists it as uncharacterized. The record is from RefSeq and is a predicted model, not a curated record. The transcript is spliced from 3 exons. NCBI's taxonomy places the organism in Eukaryota, Viridiplantae, Streptophyta, Magnoliopsida, Cornales, Cornaceae.
UGUCUCUAACUUGAUGAGUAUGACUCACAUAUGGAUAAAAAUAGAGGAAACAUUGAGUGAGAGUCGAGAUGACAGACAGUGUGGUCCGAGAGUUGCAGAGGACUUAGGAGCUUGAUGUUCCAAUGAUACAAUUAUUUUCAAGAGUAGGGAUUUUCAUACCUUGAAUCGUUUGGGGUACUUUCCCAAAGAAUAAGUUAAAACCAUGAUUUUAUAAUGAAAAGACUGAUAUUAAAGCUUACAGAGCCGUGCCAAUCAUCUAAAGCAAACUUGGAGUAAAAAUGAUGAGAAUUCUGGACCUGCUUCAGUAUUUUGGGUAUAACUUUUCACUUGAAACUCCAAAUUGAGCAAACUUUGGCGCUUUAGAAAGAAGACUCGAAGCCCGAUGUUUUUGUCUCUAAUAGCCAGCUCCAAAUUCGCACUCUAAAUGGGUCAAAAUUGCUUAGGCUCGAGGGUUUUGAAGAAAAAGAUCCAAAAGGAGUUUUGGCGGUCUAUGGCGAUGAAGACCACAACAACACAGAUGAUAUCUUGCGCCGUCAUGAGUAGCUAAUUCCUCUCUUAGGGCAUUGAUGUAGCUUGAAUUCGAAAACUAUGGUUUGAUUGUUCUGUACUUUGGGAAUUUAAUAUAUUAUGUAUUUUGAUUACAUGAA